This 125-nucleotide small RNA is filed under the name Marmota monax (woodchuck). Lineage: Eukaryota; Metazoa; Chordata; Mammalia; Rodentia; Sciuridae. The record is from RNAcentral.
GCCAGGCAUGGUAGCAUACGCCUGUAAUCCCAGCAUCUCAGGAGGCUGAGACAAGAGGAUCGUGAGUUUAAAGCCAGCCUUAGCAAAAGUGAGGCACUAAGCAACUCAGUGAGACCCUGUCUCUA